CAGCAGCCACGGGAAUACGUAGGUGGCAAGCGUUGUCCGGAAUUAUUGGGCGUAAAGGGCUCGCAGGCGGUUUCUUAAGUCUGAUGUGAAAGCCCCCGGCUCAACCGGGGAGGGUCAUUGGAAACUGGGAAACUUGAGUGCAGAAGAGGAGAGUGGAAUUCCACGUGUAGCGGUGAAAUGCGUAGAGAUGUGGAGGAACACCAGUGGCGAAGGCGACUCUCUGGUCUGUAACUGACGCUGAGGAGCGAAAGCGUGGGGAGCGAACAGGAUUAGAUACCCCUGUAGUCCCUGUCUCUUAUAU
Molecule: ribosomal RNA, 301 nt
Filed under: uncultured bacterium
Lineage: Bacteria
Description: partial 16S ribosomal RNA
Rfam family: Bacterial small subunit ribosomal RNA
Source: RNAcentral